Long non-coding RNA from Haliaeetus leucocephalus (bald eagle), 4355 nucleotides. RefSeq lists it as uncharacterized. The record is from RefSeq and is a predicted model, not a curated record. Lineage: Eukaryota; Metazoa; Chordata; Aves; Accipitriformes; Accipitridae. The transcript has 2 exons.
CACAUCUACAUAUUAUUUUGGUACCCUGUGCUUGUAUGACAUAUGGACAUACAGCCAGUAGGAAUUCCAAAUUUUUUUCUGUUUAUUUUUCAAAUUUGAGCCCUGCCUUUCCCCCCAUCCUCAUCCAGCCUUCUAGAUCCCUGUUAUAGAUUCAUCUAAGCCUCCCUUCAGACCUCUUCUGUAAAUUCGAUAUCAGUUGGAGUUUAAAGUUUCAGUUUAAUAACCUAGUAACCGUAGUUGAACGUCCUCUUCCACGUAUGAGUUUUCUACUUCCUUCUGUAGCCAUUCACUCUGUGAUUUACCCUGACAAAUACAGGAUUUGGAAUUCAUUACUUUUGCAAUUUCAGUCUGCUAGCAAUGAUAGAGGUUGUAAUCUAGAAAGGAUUGAAGUGGACAGCAUUUACUAUUGUACAGUGAAAACAGAGUUCUGAAUUUGCCAGUAUAGACCUGAUCUAGGGAUGCUUCUGUAGGCAGUAAGGACUGCCAGAAGUAUGUGCUGGCUUAGGGCUUGCAUCUGCUUUAUUAGAUUUCCUAUAAACUUCCAGAUGAAAAAAAAACCAACCUAGCAUUUUUUUUUUACUGUAGACUACCUCCUGAGUUUGCAAUAGCCGACUUUCAAUUUAAGGGUUUUUUUCAGCCUCUAAAAUGCUCAAUGUAGCAUAAAGACUAAUGGUGUAGUCGAAAGGUUGGACUCACUAUAUUUCAUUCAGAUCUUAUAAUACCCACUCUAACAUAGCUAUAGGCCUGACUCAUAAUAAUGAACAUAUCCCUGAGGAUUUAAGAAAGAUUUGUUAUUAAACUUAGGUUCUGUGGUAAACUUUUGCUAAAACAGCUUAACUGUAACUUCUGAAUGUUUUAAUAUUUUUGUGGAUUUAAUGGUUGUGAAAAGUGCUGGCUUGGUAUCUGUGAAAACUGAAGCCUAUUCUUUAUUCGUGGAUUAAUUACAGCAGAGCAGUUGCCAAGUGAUCUUCUCCACAGCACCCAUGAACUUCAGCCUUGAACUGAAGAGGACUCAUCAAAUGCCUUAGGAGAGACAGCACGGAAUUGGAAGAGAAGCAGGGGUCUCCAUGAAGGGCAGUCAACUACAGUCUUGGUAAGUUCAAAAAAUAUAUAUAAAAUUUUAUUUCCGUUAAAUUUUCACCUUUAUGAAGCAACAUAUAUUUAGGGCCCUGUUCACAGUGGGAAAACAAAGCCAGUUUUAUUGAAACAGUCUCUGCAUUCUCUGGAUUCAUUUAUGCCAUCACCACGUAAAAAUCUGUGUUUUAUUAUAGCUGAGUUUGUGGUGUAACUCCUGAAUGAAAACAAUAAGUGACAUAAAAUUCAUUAGUUAUUUUCACAGUGAUUAUGCUACAGUGUUUUCAUGCCCAGUUUGUGAACAAAACAAGAUAUAUAGGAUUGUGUUGUCUCCUAAUAACUUUUGCAUCCACCGCUUAGUUUCAGCUGCAUUUGAUAUAGAGAGAGAGGUCACAAAGUCAAGUUUCUACAAUUUGAGUGAAACUUAGCAGCUGGGAGUAGAGAAAGGACUCAAAUUAGUGCCCCCAGGGUAGAAAAAGCUGCAGCAUGGACUCGGAAAUUUUCUGUUCUGUUCCACCUGUUGACUUGCCAGUCAGCGUGCUUGGUUGGUCUGGCAGUCAACACAUGCGUAGCUCAGACCUAGCCACAAUGUGAGCUGCCUCUUUUUCUCCUAGAAGUCAGAAGCUGGUGUUUUCUGUGGGAAUUUAAGGAAAUCUGUUUAGAAGGGAAUGGGAAACCAGCCAACGUAGUGCCAGCUUGGGAUUACUGCACAAGUGUGUUGGUGGCACGCACAAGCACACUGAUAGGUAACUAGACUUCAUUACUUCUGCUAGUCAUGAAAAAACUCUUGGUUUUGCCAGGGCCUUCUAGUCUCCCAAACCACUUGUGAAUCAUUCCAUUUUAUGGUAGUUUCUAUACCUGGAUUAGAUGCAUGUUUUUCCUGUCCACGUCAGAGAAGGGAACUGUUGAGACAGCUUCAGUAUUUCAUUUCUUUGACUGUUUGGAUGUCAGCUCUGAGCUAUUCCUUAGGCUGUCAAAAUUGUAAAACUGUGUUUUCAGCUUUCCCCAGAAACUGACUGUAAUUUAGACUGCAGCUAUGUGUCCCUGACCCAUCCUACAACCUACACUCUUGGAGCAGUGCAGGAAACAUGCAUUGUAUUCCAAUUAACUUCCUUUGUGAAGAAAGAUGUGGAGCUAGGCACAGGGACAGAAAGCAAUAUUAGGAUCUGGCUGUAUCAAGUUGCCACAUUACAUUGCAACUUGGGAAUUGCUAAAUCUGUAGCUGCAUGAUUAAGGGCACCAUGAUUGUCCUGAAAGGUAUGGUGUGUCCAUGCCUCUCAGUCAGUGAGAAAUGCGCAGAUCACACUUGCCAGAGGUACUGGUUCACUUGUUUUGCAGGCUCAGGUAGGCAGCGCUAACUUGGCAGAUACCUGAUAUUUUUAAAUUUUCUGCGUAAUGUUAGACGGGGGGUCAAGAUACCUUAUAUACUUUUUAAACAGAACUUAGCACUGUAGCACUAUUCCUUAGAAACAGUUGAAUUUCUCAGAAUAACAGAAGCCUAAGAGUCAUGCAUAUGAAACAUAAAAUUUAAAAGCAGUAACAUGAGAAGAAGCACUUCUAAUUCAAUAUUGUAAGACAACUGCCUUGAAAUUUUUCAUAAAGUCUGAAAUGUGUAUUUUAAAUUUUUUUGUUUGUCCUCCUGCCCAGUUGAAAACCAUCAGCCUGGCAGCAAGGACUGAAAAACUGUGAUACUCUUCUCCAUUUUCUGCUUAUUUUCAUGUCUGUUGUUUCACAAAGUCAAAGCCAGUGAGAGAACAACUGGUCAUUUAAAAAAAAAAAAAAAAGACUGCAUUCUAUUUUUAUGGAACUUUUGGUUCUUCUGUUAGAUUCUCAAAUCCUUUCAUUUGGUCCCAGCUUUUUCUUUAGAAAACUAUCGUUGUUUCCCUAAUGCUACCUGUAUUAAAGGAAUGAAGAAUUGUCUUCUGCAUGUUUCUAGGAUCUAGUGGUUGUUCUUAUAACCUUUAUCACCAGUACUCUUGCAUAGUGUCACCAGUUAAAUAUUAUUUCAUUGAACCUAUGGCUAACCUGUUUUUAAAUGGUUUAUAAUAUAUAAAAACAUUGUGACUUACAAUAUUUUCCUUUUAAAGAUCAACAUAGAUGUGUUUUUAAUAAGAAGAGUAAGGUCAGAUCAUGAAUGUUAAGUUUUGUGUGAAUAGCAAAGUGGUGGUAUAUUCUUGUUUAACAUUAUGUUGUGUGUUUCCAGUGCUUUAAAUGAUGUUCACUAAGAGCUUAAACUUAGCAAAUAAUUAAUUAUAGUUGAUUUUCAUAAGGAUUUUUUUGUUUUAAAAAGCUGUCCCUUUUAGUCUAAAAAUGUCUAAUACUAAACUACUUUUUACCAUGUAUUUUCGCCUUGGUCUUGGAUGUUGCCAUAUGUGGUCAGAUACUUUUACGAUCAUGAAGACCUCAGUAAAUUCACAGGCCUAUGCUGUGUGCCCAAAAUGGGUGGGACAGAUUUUAAGAAGGCUUAAGCAUUGGAAAGCGGCUUGCAUCAUAGGCCAAAGAAACUAGGGUAAUUAAUUUUUAGAAAAUAAUAAAUAAAAAAUUAUAUUUCAAAUACAUAUCAGUAAAAGCUCUCAUACUGUGCUCUCACUACAUGUAAAAUCCAGAAGCAAUUUUAAGCCAACUUUAUUUAAAGAAGGAGCUGCAAAUCCCUAUAAAUAAUAUGCAACUUAAAGAUGUAUAGAACUCCUUUAUUAUGUGCUAAAUGCUGUAAUAAAACAGGCUAUCAGUAGCUUUUGCUGCAUGUUACUAAUUUAAUUUUUUUUAUCCUGAUAUUUUUGCAGGUGUGUGGAGGAACAGGUUCUGUUCUCGCUGUUGCUACUCCCACAUACGCGGACUCUGUAACUGAUUAUGUGUGGGUAGGGCCCUAUUGAAAUUCAGGAGAUUCUGCAAUAGUGCAGGGUUCUUUUUGUGAAAGUUCAGUUGCAAGAUCAGGACCCUACUGUGACUCCUUACUGUGAAUUCUGUCAGUGUAUCAUUGAUUGUGCUGGAACCUGCCUUUUGGGAUAAUGUAAGUCCUGCUCUUCCCCCAAAUGUACAUUAGACAUGAAAUAAUCAUAAAACAUUUCUAAUUAGAAAAUUAGUAUCAUUUACAUGCAUUCUUUUAAUUAUGUUUUUUUGGCAGUACCAAAUAAUAUAUUCCUCAAAACUUCUUAAUGGCACUGAGGCUUUGUGGAUAGUUGGUCACAUGAUGAGAAAAUUCAGCUGUAAGUACAUUGAAAUGAUUGAAUUUUUCAAUAGUUAGUCUUUACUGAUGUUGACAAACUAAUAAUGAUAAAAAG